CCGAGCGAGGGCCCCCGGCCCGACCUCCAACCCUGUGUGGACCAACACCCGUUGCCUCGGGGGUGACCCGGCCUCCGUGCCGCACUCCGGCGCGAUCGCGCCGGCCCCCGGUGGACCAUCUCAACACUGCGUCUGUACGUCGGAGUACUUGAUGAAUCAAUCA
Molecule: unclassified non-coding RNA, 163 nt
Filed under: uncultured Capnodiales
Lineage: Eukaryota; Fungi; Ascomycota; Dothideomycetes; Capnodiales
Description: sequence contains ITS1
Source: RNAcentral